AUUGAACGCUGGCGGAAUGCUUUACACAUGCAAGUCGAACGGCAGCACGGGAGCUUGCUCCUGGUGGCGAGUGGCGAACGGGUGAGUAAUGCAUCGGAACGUAUCCUGUAGUGGGGAAUAACUCACCGAAAGGUGAGCUAAUACCGCAUAAGCUCUGAGGAGGAAAGCGGGGGGACCGAAAGGCCUCGCGCUGCAGGAGCGGCCGAUGUCCGAUUAGCUAGUUGGUGAGGUAAAGGCUCACCAAGGCGACGAUCGGUAGCUGGUCUGAGAGGAUGAUCAGCCACACUGGGACUGAGACACGGCCCAGACUCCUACGGGAGGCAGCAGUGGGGAAUUUUGGACAAUGGGGGAAACCCUGAUCCAGCCAUGCCGCGUGAGUGAAGAAGGCCUUCGGUUGUAAAGCGUCUUUCGGACGGUAACGAAAUUAGCUUGGACUAAUACUCUGAGUAGAUGACGGUACCGUAAGAAGAAG
Molecule: ribosomal RNA, 472 nt
Filed under: uncultured bacterium
Lineage: Bacteria
Description: bacterial SSU rRNA
Rfam family: Bacterial small subunit ribosomal RNA
Source: RNAcentral